UCCGGUGUAGUCUAGUGGCUAGGAUACCUGGCUCUCACCCAGGAGUCCCGGGUUCGAUUCCCGGUACCGGAA
This is a non-coding RNA of Schistocerca cancellata (South American locust), 72 nucleotides long. Lineage: Eukaryota; Metazoa; Arthropoda; Insecta; Orthoptera; Acrididae. The record is from the annotation of a RefSeq genome assembly.